Molecule: long non-coding RNA, 713 nt
Filed under: Musa acuminata (dwarf banana)
Lineage: Eukaryota; Viridiplantae; Streptophyta; Magnoliopsida; Zingiberales; Musaceae
Description: long non-coding RNA (MACU_LNC006833)
Source: RNAcentral
GCGUAUGCAUGCAGGACCUCGUAGGCAAACUGCCGGGCCACAUCUCCCAUCUUUAGGUACUGCUUCCAUGGGUGAAAACGUCGCUGCCACCGUUGCGUACGUGCGCCCACCCGAGGAGGAAGAAAGAAGAAGAAAGGGGAGAAGAACCACACGUUAUUGCGCGCUCAAAACAAAUCGGUGCAGUCGUCUGCACAUCGACCGUGAUCAUGCAGCUUCGGUACCUACCGAGAAGACUGAGACGGCGAGGAGAAACGGCUCCCCCUUCUCUCCACAUCGCACUGCUCCGUGGUGAGCAGCGACUCCCGGUGCCGAUGCAAUCGGCGUGGCGAGAUCCGCACCUGGUCGUACGACAUCAAAGCAUCAUGGCAUCAAAAGAGGAAGAGGGAGAUCGAGUUACCCACCUACGGUGAAUUCCAUUGACGACGGUCGAUCGCCCGACCCCUCCGACGAUUGGAUGAUCUCGAGGGUUUUUGUCUUUUUUCCACUUUCCUUCCUGUUUAGAACACGAGGGUAUUUAUAGGGAAGCUUAUUGUUUCCUGAUAUGCCCGCUUGCAGGGAGCAGGAUCGUACUCCUGGCGUGAAGGAUCGAGCCUGAGCUACUGUGUCUCGGCCGGCGGUCCGAUCUGUUAGACUAGGUGGUGUCAGGUCAACCGAGACGUCAUCUAGGGCUGGCAUCAACCCGAGUCUUAUCGUCAUUAUUACCCUAAUCAGGC